Long non-coding RNA from Mauremys reevesii (Reeves's turtle), 834 nucleotides. RefSeq lists it as uncharacterized. NCBI's taxonomy places the organism in Eukaryota, Metazoa, Chordata, Testudines, Geoemydidae. The record is from RefSeq and is a predicted model, not a curated record. The transcript is spliced from 7 exons.
ACCCAGUAACAACCCCAGGCAGGGCUUAAAUUCUCAUACGCUAUUUCUGGAGAAGCCUCCCCACACCCCCAUUCACGCUUCAGCUGCGGGGCAGGGGGUCUCGGGACUUCACCCCUCAGGGCUCACAGGAGAUUGGGGUUGAAGAGGAGAUGUGGCUCAGGGCUGAAGCCCCACAAGCAUCCGCGGUUCUCCUGUGUCUGAUGGCUGGCGUGUCAUUCUACUCUAAACAUCAGAUGAAGAAAUCAGAUCAGGACAGCUGCCAGAAAGCCUGAGGAUUUAUCUUCAUUGCCAUGAUUUUGUUGGACAUCAGCACUGGGAUGCCAGAUAUCGGUGGGUCAUUUCAUGCAACUGAAUGAGGCAGAUGUUAAAAUUUUGAGAUGGGGCUGUAUCCUGUACAGUGAAGAGAUUGUGAAAAUGGCAAAGCUGGGAGAUAUUGCAGAGAAAGAUCCUGAUAAAUUCACAGAGACAACUAUCACAGACAGAAAAAGAGCUAUUCGACCCUGGCAAUUCAGAGCAGAUCCCUAUGAGAGGGAUGACUUCUAGGUUUCUUUAUUACAAGACAUAGCUCAAGACUGAUUAUCGGAAAAGACAAGGGUGUGUAGCCAGGACCCUCUGGGGCAUGAAUGGAUGGUGAUGAUAGAAACAGUCAGGAUGGUCACCCAGAUGCACUCGGUUCCUAGCAGAUGCACACCUAAAGGUUGGGAUGUUUUAUGAAUGGCAUGCUGGACCAGAAUGUACCAUCUUCCAUCAUGCACAACACUGCCAACAGAGAUCUUUUGGAAUGCCUGAAGGCCUUAACCACCAUCACCAGGCUUGAUCAAGAAAUAACUCUAC